CCUACGGGAGGCAGCAGUAAGGAAUAUUGGUCAAUGGACGAAAGUCUGAACCAGCCAUGCCGCGUGAAGGAUGAAGGUCCUCUGGAUUGUAAACUUCUUUUAUCUGGGACGAAAAAAGGGCAUUCUUGCUCACUUGACGGUACCAGAGGAAUAAGCACCGGCUAACUCCGUGCCAGCAGCCGCGGUAAUACGGAGGGUGCAAGCGUUAUCCGGAUUCACUGGGUUUAAAGGGUGCGUAGGUGGGUUGGUAAGUCAGUGGUGAAAUCUCCGAGCUUAACUCGGAAACUGCCAUUGAUACUAUCAGUCUUGAAUUUUCUGGAGGUAAGCGGAAUAUGUCAUGUAGCGGUGAAAUGCUUAGAUAUGACAUAGAACACCCAUUGCGAAGGCAGCUUACUACGGGAUAAUUGACACUGAGGCACGAAAGCGUGGGGAUCAAACAGGAUUAGAUACCCUGGUAGUCCACGCCCUAAACGAUGGAUACUCGACAUCAGCGAUACACUGUUGGUGUCUGAGCGAAAGCAUUAAGUAUCCCACCUGGGAAGUACGACCGCAAGGUUGAAACUCAAAGGAAUUGACGGCUGAGACGAGCGACGACGACGACGAGGGAGGAGG
RNAcentral lists this ribosomal RNA (612 nucleotides) under uncultured bacterium. RNAcentral describes it as "bacterial SSU rRNA". It matches the Rfam family "Bacterial small subunit ribosomal RNA", at positions 338 to 953 of the family's 1533-position model. The record is from RNAcentral.